This is a small nuclear RNA of Diceros bicornis minor, 108 nucleotides long. NCBI's taxonomy places the organism in Eukaryota, Metazoa, Chordata, Mammalia, Perissodactyla, Rhinocerotidae. The record is from RefSeq and is a predicted model, not a curated record.
UGUAUCAUUGGCAGCACAUACACUGAAAACAUUGGAAUGAUACAGGGAAGGUUAGCAUGGCUCCUGCACAAGGAUGACAUGCAAAUUCAUGAAAGAUUCCAUAUUUAA